GGAGGGUGCAAGCGUUGUUCGGAAUUAUUGGGCGUAAAGAGCGUGUAGGCGGUCCGGUAAGUCAGAUGUGAAAGCCCUGGGCUCAACCCAGGAAGUGCAUUUGAAACUACCAGACUUGAGUACGGGAGAGGAGGGGGGAAUUCCCGGUGUAGAGGUGAAAUUCGUAGAUAUCGGGAGGAAUACCAGUGGCGAAGGCGCCCUCUGGACCGAUACUGACGCUGAGACGCGAAAGCGUGGGGAGCAAACAGGAUUAGAUACCCUGGUAGUCCACGCCGUAAACGAUGAGCACUAGGUGUAGCGGGUAUUGACCCCCCUGCUGUGCCCGUAGCUAACGCAUUAAGUGCUCCGCCUGGGGGACUACGGUCGCAAGACUAA
RNAcentral lists this ribosomal RNA (375 nucleotides) under uncultured organism. RNAcentral's name for it is "partial 16S ribosomal RNA". It matches the Rfam family "Bacterial small subunit ribosomal RNA", at positions 527 to 897 of the family's 1533-position model. The record is from RNAcentral.